Molecule: microRNA precursor, 62 nt
Filed under: Podarcis lilfordi (Lilford's wall lizard)
Lineage: Eukaryota; Metazoa; Chordata; Lepidosauria; Squamata; Lacertidae
Source: RNAcentral
UGUGUGUGUGUGUGUGUGUGUGUGUGUGUACACGCACAUACACAUGCGCGCACACACACACA